This 497-nucleotide ribosomal RNA is filed under the name uncultured bacterium. Its description in RNAcentral is "partial 16S ribosomal RNA". It matches the Rfam family "Bacterial small subunit ribosomal RNA", at positions 28 to 507 of the family's 1533-position model. The record is from RNAcentral.
GAUGAACGCUGGCGGCGUGCCUAAUACAUGCGAGUCGAGCCAACAGACGAGGAGCUUGCUCCUCUGACGUUAGCGGCGGACGGGUGAGUAACACGUGGAUAACCUACCUAUAAGACUGGGAUAACUUCGGGAAACCGGAGCUAAUACCGGAUAAUAUAUUGAACCGCAUGGUUCAAUAGUGAAAGACGGUUUUGCUGUCACUUAUAGAUGGAUCCGCGCCGCAUUAGCUAGUUGGUAAGGUAACGGCUUACCAAGGCAACGAUGCGUAGCCGACCUGAGAGGGUGAUCGGCCACACUGGAACUGAGACACGGUCCAGACUCCUACGGGAGGCAGCAGUAGGGAAUCUUCCGCAAUGGGCGAAAGCCUGACGGAGCAACGCCGCGUGAGUGAUGAAGGUCUUCGGAUCGUAAAACUCUGUUAUUAGGGAAGAACAAAUGUGUAAGUAACUAUGCACGUCUUGACGGUACCUAAUCAGAAAGCCACGGCUAACUACGUG